Molecule: long non-coding RNA, 346 nt
Organism: Sebastes umbrosus (honeycomb rockfish)
Lineage: Eukaryota; Metazoa; Chordata; Actinopteri; Perciformes; Sebastidae
Exons: 3
Source: RefSeq, a predicted model, not a curated record
UCGAAAAAUGAUCCUCUGACCUUCAGUAAUGAACCUGGACCCUCAGAGUCAAAGAAGAGGAAGACGAGUGAUGUUUCUGUGGAGGAGCAGCUGUCCUGCUGUGCUUUGUGUCAGAAUGUCCUGAAGGAUCCAGUCUUUACCAGCUGUGGACACAGGUUCUGCAGACAGUGCAUCACCUCAUACUGGGACCAGUCUGCUUCAGCAGGAGACUACUCCUGUCCCCAUUGUGGAAAAAGAUCCAGAACAAGAGCUGGACUGCAGACAGCCGGUCAGACCAGCACUGUACAAACAGAUAGUGUUCUGCAGGAGGUUAUAGAUGAACAUAAGAUCAGUCUGAGGAGGAGAU